UGGCUUUUCUUUCUUCUUUUCUCUUCUUCUUGGCAGCUAGCUUUUCAUCUUCUUUUCUUUUUGCUUUAGCUUCUCUUCUUGCUUGCCUCCUUUGCCUUCUCUCGGGGUCGGUAGUCAUACCACCAUCAGGCUUGAGGGUGGAGUUGCUGGCUGUUGAGACUGAUAGCUCACUGCUAUCACUCUCAACCAGCACAUCCUCAGCUUGUGCAGCUGGAAUGGACCUAUCCUUCGCCCCCGAGCUUCCCACAACUUCCAUACUUCACGCGGUG
RNAcentral lists this long non-coding RNA (269 nucleotides) under Sorghum bicolor (sorghum). Its description in RNAcentral is "long non-coding RNA (SBIC_LNC000129)". Lineage: Eukaryota; Viridiplantae; Streptophyta; Magnoliopsida; Poales; Poaceae. The record is from RNAcentral.